AUUGAACGCUGGCGGCAUGCUUUACACAUGCAAGUCGGACGGCAGCACAGAGAAGCUUGCUUCUUGGGUGGCGAGUGGCGAACGGGUGAGUAACAUAUCGGAACGUACCGGGCAGUGGGGGAUAACUAAUCGAAAGAUCAGCUAAUACCGCAUAUCUUCUGAGGAAGAAAGCAGGGGACCAUUUGGCCUUGCGCUGUUUGAGCGGCCGAUAUCUGAUUAGCUAGUUGGUGGGGUAAAGGCCUACCAAGGCGACGAUCAGUAGCGGGUCUGAGAGGAUGAUCCGCCACACUGGGACUGAGACACGGCCCAGACUCCUACGGGAGGCAGCAGUGGGGAAUUUUGGACAAUGGGCGCAAGCCCUGAUCCAGCCAUGCCGCGUGUCUGAAAGAAAGGGCCCUUUCGGGUUGUAAAAGG
RNAcentral lists this ribosomal RNA (414 nucleotides) under Neisseria sicca. Its description in RNAcentral is "bacterial SSU rRNA". It matches the Rfam family "Bacterial small subunit ribosomal RNA", at positions 30 to 432 of the family's 1533-position model. The record is from RNAcentral. Lineage: Bacteria; Pseudomonadati; Pseudomonadota; Betaproteobacteria; Neisseriales; Neisseriaceae.